This 484-nucleotide ribosomal RNA is filed under the name uncultured bacterium. RNAcentral's name for it is "partial 16S ribosomal RNA". It matches the Rfam family "Bacterial small subunit ribosomal RNA", at positions 30 to 523 of the family's 1533-position model. The record is from RNAcentral.
AUUGAACGCUGGCGGCGUGCUUAACACAUGCAAGUCGAACGAGAACGGGUUAUAGCUUGCUAAAAUUGUCAGCUAAGUGGCGCACGGGUGAGUAAUGUAUAGGCAAUAUGCCUCUUACUAAGGGAUAACAAAUGGAAACGUUUGCUAAUACCUUAUACUCCUUAUUAACAUAAGUUAAUAAGGGAAAGAUUUAUUGGUAAGAGAUUAGCCUGUAUUGUAUCAGUUAGUUGGUGGGGUAAUGGCUUACCAAGACUAUGACACAUAACUGGUUUGAGAGGAUGAUCAGUCACACUGGAACUGAGACACGGUCCAGACUCCUACGGGAGGCAGCAGUGGGGAAUAUUGCACAAUGGACGAAAGUCUGAUGCAGCAACGCCGCGUGGAGGAUGACACAUUUCGGUGCGUAAACUCCUUUUAUAUGAGAAGAUAAUGACGGUAUUAUAUGAAUAAGCACCGGCUAACUCCGUGCCAGCCGCCGCGGUAA